Molecule: ribosomal RNA, 486 nt
Filed under: uncultured Ralstonia sp.
Lineage: Bacteria; Pseudomonadati; Pseudomonadota; Betaproteobacteria; Burkholderiales; Burkholderiaceae
Description: bacterial SSU rRNA
Rfam family: Bacterial small subunit ribosomal RNA
Source: RNAcentral
AUUGAACGCUGGCGGCAUGCCUUACACAUGCAAGUCGAACGGCAGCACGGGGGCAACCCUGGUGGCGAGUGGCGAACGGGUGAGUAAUGCAUCGGAACGUGCCCAGUAGUGGGGGAUAACUAGUCGAAAGAUUAGCUAAUACCGCAUACGACCUAUGGGUGAAAGCGGGGGACCUUUACCGGCCUCGCGCUAUCGGAGCGGCCGAUGUCUGAUUAGCUAGUUGGCGGGGUAAAAGCCCACCAAGGCGACGAUCAGUAGCUGGUCUGAGAGGACGACCAGCCACACUGGGACUGAGACACGGCCCAGACUCCUACGGGAGGCAGCAGUGGGGAAUUUUGGACAAUGGGGGCAACCCUGAUCCAGCCAUGCCGCGUGUGUGAAGAAGGCCUUCGGGUUGUAAAGCACUUUCGGCCGGAACGAAAUCGCGCGAUCUAAUAAGUCGCGUGGAUGACGGUACCGGAAGAAGAAGCACCGGCUAACUACGUG